RNAcentral lists this ribosomal RNA (161 nucleotides) under uncultured bacterium. RNAcentral's name for it is "partial 16S ribosomal RNA". It matches the Rfam family "Bacterial small subunit ribosomal RNA", at positions 358 to 511 of the family's 1533-position model. The record is from RNAcentral.
GGAAUCUUCCACAAUGGGCGCAAGCCUGAUGGAGCAACACCGCGUGAGUGAAGAAGGGUUUCGGCUCGUAAAGCUCUGUUGUUAAAGAAGAACACGUAUGAGAGUAACUGUUCAUACGUUGACGGUAUUUAACCAGAAAGCCACGGCUAACUACGUGCCAA